RNAcentral lists this ribosomal RNA (398 nucleotides) under uncultured bacterium. RNAcentral's name for it is "partial 16S ribosomal RNA". It matches the Rfam family "Bacterial small subunit ribosomal RNA", at positions 338 to 733 of the family's 1533-position model. The record is from RNAcentral.
CCUACGGGUGGCAGCAGUGAGGAAUAUUGGUCAAUGGGCGCAAGCCUGAACCAGCCAAGUAGCGUGCAGGAUGACGGCCCUACGGGUUGUAAACUGCUUUUAUACGGGAAUAACGCGCGUUACGUGUAUCUUUUUGUAUGUACCGUAUGAAUAAGGAUCGGCUAACUCCGUGCCAGCAGCCGCGGUAAUACGGAGGGUCCGAGCGUUAUCCGGAUUUAUUGGGUUUAAAGGGAGCGUAGGCGGGCUGUUAAGGUAGCUGUGAAAUUUCGGGGCUCAACCCGUGAAUUGCAGCUGAUACUGGCAGGCUUGAGUACAGUGGAGGUAGGCGGAAUGCGUGGUGUAGCGGUGAAAUGCUUAGAUAUCACGAAGAACUCCGAUUGCGAAGGCAGCUUGCUAAA